Molecule: non-coding RNA, 747 nt
Organism: Cherax quadricarinatus
Lineage: Eukaryota; Metazoa; Arthropoda; Malacostraca; Decapoda; Parastacidae
Source: RefSeq, a predicted model, not a curated record
UUGCAGGGGUCGAGUCCAGCUUCUGGCCCCACCUCUUCGCUGGCCGCUACUAGAUCACUCUUCCCGCCCCAUGAGCUUUAUCAUACCUCUUCUUGAAGCUUUGUAUGCGUUUUGUAAUGACUGAUCGGUGAUGGUUACUCAAGGACUGAUGACUGUUAAUGGUGAAGGGUGUACCUGAUAAGGUUUGUCACAGGAGGGGUCCCGUAAGUGACUUUAAGUCUACAUAACUUAAAAAUUUUGGGUCUACUACUACUGUUGCGAGGGGGCCCCCAUAACGGGGGGCUCCAAAAAUAUAGGGCCGCCACUGGGUUUGUGAGAGGGAUAAUAUGAGGCAAGAUAUGGUCAUAAUAAUAAUAAUUAAAACACUCAGCACCAGUAAAAAUUCACAAGAGUCGAGGCGCAGACAUUGCAUCAGCAGUAUGGUCGUCUAGCCGCUGCUGUCAGCUAACAGUCAGGUAACAGCUAACCUCUUAUCAGCUCAGUCAGCACAUGUAGAGUUUAUGUGGUCCUGGAGGUGACCAGUGGACAUCACUCUCCUCUGGAACACUCGCCACUCCACUAGUUACAAUUCACUCUUCUAGCAGGAUGCGAUGGUUGGUUGUAUGUACACUGCUGCUGACCACCACGGCAGCCAGGGCUAACUUUUUGGACGAGUUGUGGGAGCAUCUGAUGGAUAUCUUCAGGACUUUUGAGUCAGUACCUUACAAGGUUACCAGGACAGCUCCUGUGAGUUUUCUGCAUUUGUUU